AUUCAAUCUCAUAAACCCUUUACACUAGAUUUGCAUCCGCUAAGAUCUCAUUUGGUUCUGUUACUUACUGUCAAUAACACUGCUUCUGGAUCUGCCAAAAUAAAUCCUUAGAUUCUGCAUGUGCGAGCGCAUGAUGACCAAUAGUUCAAAUCUUUUGGGAUCCUAGUAAAGCGAAGUUCGAAUCCGGACCCAACCCAGAACCUCAAUCUGGGCUCUCUAUAGCCGUGGUUGUGGACGGCAAAAUGACGCUUCUCGUCGGCGAUUUGACCAAGGAAGCUUACUCGAAGAGCAAAGCGAAAAGGCCGGAGAUAGAUCAAGGUACUGUUCUACCGACUUCUACGAGGAGAACAUUAAUGAAUUCUUAACCUAUUAAACGGUGUCGUUUUCGAAUGUGCUUACUGCUUAGUGGUCAACCUACUUAAUGUUCUUAUAAAAAAAAAAAAAAUACCUACUUAAUGUGCUAUCUAAGAACAACCACAAUGGUUGUAAUUUGCUUGGGCAAAUAUAAUGUAUCCAGCUACUACACCUCUCCGUAUGUCCCCCCAUCUCUCUUUCUCAUAAAGAAUAUUAUAUGAAACGAAGCACGCUUUUCUUUCUUCUC
This is a long non-coding RNA of Tripterygium wilfordii, 601 nucleotides long. RefSeq lists it as uncharacterized. The record is from RefSeq and is a predicted model, not a curated record. The transcript is spliced from 2 exons. Lineage: Eukaryota; Viridiplantae; Streptophyta; Magnoliopsida; Celastrales; Celastraceae.